AAGCGGAGGAAAAGAAACUAACAAGGAUUCCCCUAGUAACGGCGAGUGAAGCGGGAAAAGCUCAAAUUUGAAAUCUGGCAGUCUUCGAUUGUCCGAGUUGUAAUCUAUAGAGGCGUUUUCCGUGCCGGACCGUGUCCAAGUCUCCUGGAAAGGAGUAUCAAAGAGGGUGAUAAUCCCUACUUAACACGACCCCCGGUGCUCUGUGAUACGUCUUCUACGAGUCGAGUUGUUUGGGAAUGCAGCUCAAAAUGGGUGGUGAAUUCCAUCUAAAGCUAAAUAUUGGCGAGAGACCGAUAGCGAACAAGUACCGUGAGGGAAAGAUGAAAAGCACUUUGGAAAGAGAGUUAAACAGUACGUGAAAUUGUUGAAAGGGAAACGAUUGAAGUCAGUCGUGUUCCUUGGAUUCAGCCAGUUCUGCUGGUCUACUUCCUUGGAACGGGUCAACAUCAGUUUCGUCCGGUGGAUAAAGGUAGUAGGAAUGUGACUUCCCCGGAAGUGUUAUAGCCUAUUGCCACAUACACUGGGUGAGACUGAGGACUGCAGCUCGCCUUUAUGGCCGGUCUUCGGACACGUUCGAGCUUAGGAUGUUGACAUAAUGGCUUUAAACGACCCGUCUUG
Molecule: ribosomal RNA, 618 nt
Filed under: Trichosporon sp. D59_1
Lineage: Eukaryota; Fungi; Basidiomycota; Tremellomycetes; Trichosporonales; Trichosporonaceae
Description: eukaryotic LSU rRNA
Rfam family: Eukaryotic large subunit ribosomal RNA
Source: RNAcentral